Molecule: ribosomal RNA, 787 nt
Filed under: Pseudomonas putida
Lineage: Bacteria; Pseudomonadati; Pseudomonadota; Gammaproteobacteria; Pseudomonadales; Pseudomonadaceae
Description: bacterial SSU rRNA
Rfam family: Bacterial small subunit ribosomal RNA
Source: RNAcentral
UGCAAGUCGAGCGGAUGAGAAGAGCUUGCUCUUCGAUUCAGCGGCGGACGGGUGAGUAAUGCCUAGGAAUCUGCCUGGUAGUGGGGGACAACGUUUCGAAAGGAACGCUAAUACCGCAUACGUCCUACGGGAGAAAGCAGGGGACCUUCGGGCCUUGCGCUAUCAGAUGAGCCUAGGUCGGAUUAGCUAGUUGGUGAGGUAAUGGCUCACCAAGGCGACGAUCCGUAACUGGUCUGAGAGGAUGAUCAGUCACACUGGAACUGAGACACGGUCCAGACUCCUACGGGAGGCAGCAGUGGGGAAUAUUGGACAAUGGGCGAAAGCCUGAUCCAGCCAUGCCGCGUGUGUGAAGAAGGUCUUCGGAUUGUAAAGCACUUUAAGUUGGGAGGAAGGGCAUUAACCUAAUACGUUAGUGUUUUGACGUUACCGACAGAAUAAGCACCGGCUAACUCUGUGCCAGCAGCCGCGGUAAUACAGAGGGUGCAAGCGUUAAUCGGAAUUACUGGGCGUAAAGCGCGCGUAGGUGGUUUGUUAAGUUGGAUGUGAAAGCCCCGGGCUCAACCUGGGAACUGCAUCCAAAACUGGCAAGCUAGAGUACGGUAGAGGGUGGUGGAAUUUCCUGUGUAGCGGUGAAAUGCGUAGAUAUAGGAAGGAACACCAGUGGCGAAGGCGACCUGGACUGAUACUGACACUGAGGUGCGAAAGCGUGGGGAGCAAACAGGAUUAGAUACCCUGGUAGUCCACGCCGUAAACGAUGUCAACUAGCCGUUGGAAUCCUUGAGAUUUU